GACGAACGCUGGCGGCGUGCUUAACACAUGCAAGUCGAGCGGAAAGGCCCUGCUUUUGUGGGGUGCUCGAGUGGCGAACGGGUGAGUAACACGUGAGUAACCUGCCCUUGACUUUGGGAUAACUUCAGGAAACUGGGGCUAAUACCGGAUAGGAGCUCCUGCUGCAUGGUGGGGGUUAGAAAGUUUCGGCGGUUGGGGAUGGACUCGCGGCUUAUCAGCUUGUUGGUGGGGUAGUGGCUUACCAAGGCUUUGACGGGUAGCCGGCCUGAGAGGGUGACCGGCCACAUUGGGACUGAGAUACGGCCCAGACUCCUACGGGAGGCAGCAGUGGGGAAUAUUGCACAAUGGGCGGAAGCCUGAUGCAGCAACGCCGCGUGCGGGAUGACGGCCUUCGGGUUGUAAACCGCUUUCGCCUGUGACGAAGCGUGAGUGACGGUAAUGGGUAAAGAAGCACCGGCUAACUACGUG
RNAcentral lists this ribosomal RNA (468 nucleotides) under uncultured bacterium. RNAcentral describes it as "partial 16S ribosomal RNA". It matches the Rfam family "Bacterial small subunit ribosomal RNA", at positions 28 to 507 of the family's 1533-position model. The record is from RNAcentral.